GAUGAACGCUGGCGGCGUGCCUAAUACAUGCAAGUCGAGCGAACAGACGAGGAGCUUGCUCCUCUGACGUUAGCGGCGGACGGGUGAGUAACACGUGGAUAACCUACCUAUAAGACUGGGAUAACUUCGGGAAACCGGAGCUAAUACCGGAUAAAAUGUUGAACCGCAUGGUUCAACAGUGAAAGACGGUUUUGCUGUCACUUAUAGAUGGAUCCGCGCCGCAUUAGCUAGUUGGUAAGGUAACGGCUUACCAAGGCAACGAUGCGUAGCCGACCUGAGAGGGUGAUCGGCCACACUGGAACUGAGACACGGUCCAGACUCCUACGGGAGGCAGCAGUAGGGAAUCUUCCGCAAUGGGCGAAAGCCUGACGGAGCAACGCCGCGUGAGUGAAGAAGGUCUUCGGAUCGUAAAACUCUGUUAUUAGGGAAGAACAAAUGUGUAAGUAACUAUGCACGUCUUGACGGUACCUAAUCAGAAAGCCACGGCUAACUACGUG
This 497-nucleotide ribosomal RNA is filed under the name uncultured bacterium. Its description in RNAcentral is "partial 16S ribosomal RNA". It matches the Rfam family "Bacterial small subunit ribosomal RNA", at positions 28 to 507 of the family's 1533-position model. The record is from RNAcentral.